Long non-coding RNA from Triticum aestivum (bread wheat), 2405 nucleotides. RefSeq lists it as uncharacterized. Lineage: Eukaryota; Viridiplantae; Streptophyta; Magnoliopsida; Poales; Poaceae. The record is from RefSeq and is a predicted model, not a curated record. The transcript is spliced from 2 exons.
CAGACACGAGCGCGGCUGCACGGGCUCUCCUCUCUCCCUCGCCUCCUGAUCCCAGCCGCCAGGAGGCCCGCGGCCCGCGCGGCGCUCGAUCCGGUGACCGCCGGCCGCCGGACGACGCCGGUAAUGGCAGCACCCUGCACCACCGUUCCACCUUAGCUCCCCCUCUGCCCCGCGUCCGCGUGCCCGAGCUCCUCCUCUCUCCCGCGCGCCCGAGCUCCUUGUUGUGCGCCGCCCAGGAGGGCUUGCGCUCGCCGCUCGACCAGAGCCACCGCGAGCUGGGCGUCGUUGCACUUGCCGGCGACCUGGCCGUCCCCUCUGCACCCCCUCCACCUCAAAUUUGGACGAGCAUGUGUUUGUGUAUGUUCUCAGUUAUUUUUUGCACACAAGGUGUUUGUGUGUUUGUCCGAGCCAGUUUCAGUCACAGAUCCUUAAGGUAAACUCUCACAUGAAUACAUCAUGAGACUAAAUCUCCUUCCAUAUGAUUCAAAGCAUGUUAUGAUGGUGGGAGUGAAUCAGGUUACUAGAAUAAUGGUUUGCUAAUUAAUUUACAUCAUGUGGAGUCUCAAGACACAUGGGUACGCCGACUCCUAUUGAUUGACAAAUGUAUAUCUGCGGGUUUUCUUUAAUUGUAUGAAGAAGUUACAGUUAGGUGUUGACCUUUUUUUUGCCUAGACACAGCACCUCCAUGCACCUUUUUCCGUUUAUCUUUGCUGCGCCUUUUUAGUUUUAAUUGUUGUUUACCUUCAUCCGACCAAAUUGAGCUAUCGGAGGUGCUGCGAUCUUUUGGCAAACAUGCUCUGUAUUCUAUGGUUUGGCAUCUACAGGAUGCCAUCUCAGGUCAUGGAUCCACUGUGGCCGCUUCGUCCUUCACUGAGGACCUUCUCAUCCCCACAGAGAUCAGAGGUAACCCACACAGUUGGAAAUAGUUGCUCAAGUUCUUGCUUCAACAAAUUUUGUUCCGGAUAUAAUUUAUGGCCAUGCCAUGUAUUAAUUAUUCUUAUAAUGGUCAUCUGAAUUUGCAAAGAAAAUUAUAUUUUGGAAGCAGGAACCCUUACCUCAUGGCGUAUCAUGGCUCCUAAUGUUAUACUUCGAAUAGUUGAGCAGAAAACUGGCGUAUCAUGGCUCCUAAUGUUACAGAGCAAGUGGACAGACUAUUCCCCCUCCCACCCCCUCUAAACUUUGUUUUCUAGGUUUGGUUGGCUACAAAAGGCUAGAUUCUGGUAUAUAUUCGUUGGUGCAGAAGCUAGAAGCUCAUUGAUAUUAUUUUUCUUGCCAAACAUAUGAAGGAUUGUGCAUAAAACUUCCAGCUUGAAAUCUACAUCUGGGUUACAAGCUUUGUCCAGAAUUUAAGAACAUCGCUGUGGACAUUUAGAUAUUUUUGUAGCAUUCUUCAGGGUCUUGACUUAAUUUCUUUUCACACAGUAAAAUAUCAAUUAUAUGUUGUACAGUAGUAGUAGUGUGAAUACUAUGUACUCAAGUUUAUUGAAGUCAAAACAGGAAAGGAGAGCAGAGUUCAGGGCAUGUUCAGCUCCAUCCAUGCAUCAAGGGAAAUAUAUACGAGGCAAAGGAAUUACGUGUUCUGCUAGAUGACAUAGUACAAGGUUCAGCAGCGACGACAUGAUCUCAAACAUGGCACUGAGUACAAGGCAAAGUUAUGUGGUGGGUCGGAUGGAGAGCUUGGCGCGGUGAUGUGGCAGGCUGCUCUACAGUGGCACUAAUGGAGAGCUCGGUCAACGAUGACGGGACGACCGACUGAUCUGCGGCAGCGUGGAAGGAGGGCUCGGCGGUCGACACGGCGGCUUGAUCCGCUGUUCUGCGACGUUUCGGAGAACUUCUUGUACUGGUGUGUGUGUAUGCAUAGGUGCCGUACUAUCCUGGGCGCUCACUCCCCCAGGAUCCCACAAGUUUGCAUAGAGCUCGGACGUCGGUGGCGGCCUGGCACGCUAAUCUGCCGCCUCCACAUGAGGAGUCGUGAGAUUAGUGCAUCACAUUCAAAAGUCGCCGCUCCGUGAUUAGGGCAUUGCAUUCAGGCAUUCAGUAAAUUAGAAGACAUAUUUAGCUAGCACUGGGAUCCAUCGUCAUUGUAGGGCCUUGAAUCUUUUCAAUCCUUGCCAAGACAGUUCUUGCCAUGGACGACGGGUCUCUCCGUGUGGUCUUGGUCCAAAAGCUAAAAUAGGGAAUAAGAUGUGCCUCGCCGUGUGAAGUGUUGGGUAUCUUUUGCACUUGCUCCAUCAGCUGCAGAAACUAUAGCCCAAAUGCAGCAUACUGCCACUAUUUCAUAUCAUUGAUUGAUGAUUUGUUUUUUCAUAAUUGAAUUGGCGAAUGAUGAAAAGGUGUAACGUUCAGGGAUUUUUGCUAGAUGAUUUGUUGAUCCAGUUUAAUUUUAGUAGGCAUCUGGGUACUUU